RNAcentral lists this ribosomal RNA (435 nucleotides) under uncultured Streptococcus sp. RNAcentral's name for it is "bacterial SSU rRNA". It matches the Rfam family "Bacterial small subunit ribosomal RNA", at positions 945 to 1382 of the family's 1533-position model. Lineage: Bacteria; Bacillati; Bacillota; Bacilli; Lactobacillales; Streptococcaceae. The record is from RNAcentral.
UUUAAUCGAAGCAACGCGAAGUACCUUACCAGGUCUUGACAUCCCGAUGCUUAUUUCUAGAGAUAGAAAGUUACUUCGGUACAUCGGUGACAGGUGGUGCAUGGUUGUCGUCAGCUCGUGUCGUGAGAUGUUGGGUUAAGUCCCGCAACGAGCGCAACCCCUAUUGUUAGUUGCCAUCAUUCAGUUGGGCACUCUAGCGAGACUGCCGGUAAUAAACCGGAGGAAGGUGGGAUGACGUCAAAUCAUCAUGCCCCUUAUGACCUGGGCUACACACGUGCUACAAUGGUUGGUACAACGAGUUGCGAGUCGGUGACGGCGAGCUAAUCUCUUAAAGCCAAUCUCAGUUCGGAUUGUAGGCUGCAACUCGCCUACAUGAAGUCGGAAUCGCUAGUAAUCGCGGAUCAGCACGCCGCGGUGAAUACGUUCCCGGGCCUU